This 324-nucleotide ribosomal RNA is filed under the name uncultured eukaryote. Its description in RNAcentral is "partial 18S ribosomal RNA". It matches the Rfam family "Eukaryotic small subunit ribosomal RNA", at positions 1470 to 1796 of the family's 1831-position model. The record is from RNAcentral.
CCCUUAGAUGUUCUGGGCUGCACGCGCGCUACACUGACAUACUCAGCAAGUUUCCUUUCCCGAAAGGGUUGGGUAAUCUUGUUAGUGUAUGUCGUGAUGGGGAUAGAAUAUUGUAAUUAUUGCUCUUUAACGAGGAAUUCCUAGUAAGCGCAAGUCAACAGCUUGCGCUGAUUACGUCCCUGCCCUUUGUACACACCGCCCGUCGCUCCUACCGAUGAAUCGUCCGGUGAAGCGUUCGGACCGUGGCCUUUGGACGGUUCGCCGUCUGUUGGCUGCGGGAAGUUCGUUAAACCUUAUCAUUUAGAGGAAGGAGAAGUCGUAACA